Molecule: ribosomal RNA, 468 nt
Filed under: Trichodactylus sp. 4 FLM-2013
Lineage: Eukaryota; Metazoa; Arthropoda; Malacostraca; Decapoda; Trichodactylidae
Description: partial 16S ribosomal RNA
Rfam family: Bacterial large subunit ribosomal RNA
Source: RNAcentral
GACCGUGCAAAGGUAGCAUAAUCAUUAGCCUUUUAAUUGAAGGCUUGUAUGAAUGGUUGGACAAAGAAAAAUCUGUCUUUAUAAUAUUAUUUGAAUUUAACUUUUAAGUGAAAAGGCUUAAAUUAACCAGGGGGACGAUAAGACCCUAUAAAACUUUAUAUAAAAUUAAGUUUGUUUAAAUUUAAUUAUUAAAAAUCUGAGUUAAUAAUUAUAUUUUGUUGGGGCGACAUAAAUAUAAAUAAUUAUAAUAACUGUUUGAAUAUAAUACUAUAAUUUAUGAGUUAUAAUUAUAAAUGGUCCUUAUUAAAGAUUAAAAGAUUAAGUUACUUUAGGGAUAACAGCGUAAUUUUUUUUGAGAGUUCAUAUCGAAAAAAAAGUUUGCGACCUCAUGUUGAAUUAAAAUAUCUAUAUAAUGUACUGUUAUAAAAGAAGGUCUGUUCGACCUUUAAAUUUUUACGUGAUCUGAUU